This 110-nucleotide transfer RNA is filed under the name Desulfobacteraceae bacterium. Its description in RNAcentral is "tRNA-Ser". It matches the Rfam family "tRNA". Rfam says of the family: Transfer RNA (tRNA) molecules are approximately 80 nucleotides in length. Their secondary structure includes four short double-helical elements and three loops (D, anti-codon, and T loops). Further hydrogen bonds mediate the characteristic L-shaped molecular structure. tRNAs have two regions of fundamental functional importance: the anti-codon, which is responsible for specific mRNA codon recognition, and the 3' end, to which the tRNAs corresponding amino acid is attached (by aminoacyl-tRNA synthetases). tRNAs cope with the degeneracy of the genetic code in two manners: having more than one tRNA (with a specific anti-codon) for a particular amino acid; and 'wobble' base-pairing, i.e. permitting non-standard base-pairing at the 3rd anti-codon position. The record is from RNAcentral. Lineage: Bacteria; Pseudomonadati; Thermodesulfobacteriota; Desulfobacteria; Desulfobacterales; Desulfobacteraceae.
GGAGGGAUGGCUGAGUGGUUGAAAGCGGCGGUCUUGAAAACCGUUGAGUGUAACAGCUCCGUGGGUUCGAAUCCNNUCCACCCCGGGUUCGAAUCCCGGUCUCUCCGCCA